Molecule: transfer RNA, 69 nt
Filed under: Sebastes inermis (dark-banded rockfish)
Lineage: Eukaryota; Metazoa; Chordata; Actinopteri; Perciformes; Sebastidae
Description: tRNA-Glu
Rfam family: tRNA
About the family: Transfer RNA (tRNA) molecules are approximately 80 nucleotides in length. Their secondary structure includes four short double-helical elements and three loops (D, anti-codon, and T loops).
Source: RNAcentral
GUUCGUGUAGUUGAAUAGCAACGGUGGUUUUGCAAACCAUUAGUUUUGGUUAAAGUCCUAACAGGAAUU